GCCCACACGCUCAAUAUUCCUAUCAUUGCUUGGCAUGUUCCUGGGGUUCUUUCACUCUUGUCAUGGAUCAGAUUCCUGUCUAGACAACAUUUAUCCAACAGAAUAAAUAAAUCAUUCCCUGGACAAUCUGGAUUGCCAUGCCAACAAGGUCUUGGGUUAGCAAUGUCUGAAGUAUAAGUGAGCAAAUGGCCUUCAACUGAAAACUUGCACUUCUGAAGAAAGAGUUUCAGGUUUCCUCGGUUCAUGAAGGGAUAGACCAGAAGAGGGUGCUGCACAUCAUCCAUGCAGACAGCAAUGAUUGCAUUAUUUGGUGUGUCUACCCUCAAGAAUGUUUGGCCAUGGUCAGAAGCUCCUCUAGACGAGUCUCCUCU
Molecule: long non-coding RNA, 371 nt
Organism: Limulus polyphemus (Atlantic horseshoe crab)
Lineage: Eukaryota; Metazoa; Arthropoda; Merostomata; Xiphosura; Limulidae
Exons: 4
Source: RefSeq, a predicted model, not a curated record